UGGGGUGUAGCUUAGUGGUAGAGCACGUUUAUGGCAUGUAUAAGGUCCUGGGUUCCAUCCCCAGCAACACAA
RNAcentral lists this transfer RNA (72 nucleotides) under Ictidomys tridecemlineatus (thirteen-lined ground squirrel). Its description in RNAcentral is "Spermophilus tridecemlineatus (thirteen-lined ground squirrel) tRNA". It matches the Rfam family "tRNA". From Rfam's summary of the family: Transfer RNA (tRNA) molecules are approximately 80 nucleotides in length. Lineage: Eukaryota; Metazoa; Chordata; Mammalia; Rodentia; Sciuridae. The record is from Rfam by way of RNAcentral.